This 1286-nucleotide long non-coding RNA is filed under the name Trifolium pratense (red clover). RNAcentral describes it as "long non-coding RNA (TPRA_LNC011697)". Lineage: Eukaryota; Viridiplantae; Streptophyta; Magnoliopsida; Fabales; Fabaceae. The record is from RNAcentral.
CAUUGACAAUGGUCAUGGGAGAUGACAUGGUGAAGGUUAUUGCUUGGUAUGACAAUGAGUGGGGUUACUCACAAAGGGUUGUUGAUUUGGCUGACAUUGUUGCCAAUAACUGGAAGUGAGAGCCAAAUAAUGUUUUUCAAUUAUAUAUAUGUAUGUAUCAUGUGCCAUUGUAAUUUUGUACACUUCUUUUUUCUUUAAUCUUCUAAACUUGUAUUGAGAGAUAGAACUAUCAAUUUUCUCUUGUUCCCCAUUGUGCAAUAAAAAUUCUUACCUUCAAAUCUAAAUGUUGAUACUAGGCCUCCAAAUCUAUGUAUUAUCUUCAUGAAUUGAUCUUUUCAUUUGAAUCAACUCAUAAAAGAAUGUAACUCUAUGUUGAAGGUUAUGGAAAAUAAUUAAAGUGAAUCAUAAGGAUGUUAAUGACAUGCUAAUAAUGCAGUGAAGAGAAGAAUGAAUCAAGAAUCAAAACAAAAUGUCAUUAUAGAGUGAUUGGGAAAUCACCAAAUUGUAUUGAAUUGUAAUGUAAUGAAUAGGGUAUUGUAUCAUCAACUUGUAUCACUAGUGGCUAGCUAUGAGGGUGAUAAAUGAGGCCAAAUCCAAACACUUGGGUGCUGCCACAAUCUGCAAAAGGAGUAAACCCACAGCAUAAUCUACAGAAAAGGAUUACACGGUGUAACUGUGUUAACACAGUAGUCAUUAUUGACCGUCCAAUCAACAAUAAAUGGCUGAGAUUAAACCUGUGUAUAAACUACAUUAAUCAAUCAAAACUGUCUGAAUGCUUUUGGAGGGCUGAGAUUGCUUACGGCGUGUAACCGCGUGAAGCAGUUAACGCGGUCAAUCGAGAUCCUACCCACUUUAACAUGUUUUCACACAAAAAAAGUGAGUGUCUUUAAUUUAUUAGCAAAAAAAGGAACAUCUAUGCAAUGUGUAUAGAUGACAUGCUGAACAUGGUGCCAUGUUCUCAAAGAUGACUUAAAUGACAAUGUGUGUGAUGACGAAUCAGUAAUUCGUGCAAAAAAUACUCAUCAAUUUGAACAUGGAAAUAGAUUGCAAAUUGGCAAUAAUCAUUGAACAUAAAUACAACAUUACAUCUUAGUACUUGAUAUAAUUGUUGAUUAUAAUUUCACUUGCUAUUAGAUAUAAUAGUACAUUUCCCAUAAGGGUAGCUCAAAUGGUAGCUACCAAAUACAUUAUUGAAGUGGCCGAGGUUCGAACCCCGGAUUCCACACAUCUUCACAUUUAAAUGUGUGAGAGUCUAGCCACUAGACUUCUUAACAAAAAAAAAAAAG